This 1536-nucleotide ribosomal RNA is filed under the name Candidatus Organicella extenuata. RNAcentral describes it as "bacterial SSU rRNA". It matches the Rfam family "Bacterial small subunit ribosomal RNA". Lineage: Bacteria; Pseudomonadati; Verrucomicrobiota. The record is from RNAcentral.
UAAAAUAAGAGUUUGAUCCUAGCUCAGAAUAAACGCUUGCGACGUGGUUUAGACAUGCAAGUUGAACGAUAACUGUUAAGUUAUAGUAGCGAACGGGUGAGUAAUGUACAAAUAACCUGCCUUUAGGAUAGGAAUAACCCUUUGAAAAAAGGAUUAAUACCUUAUACUAUUUUCCUAGUUAAAACUAGGAAACAUUAAAGUUCGAGAAGACGCCUAAAGAGGGGUUUGUAUCCUAUCAAGUUAGUUGGUAAGGUAAAUGCUUACCAAGACUAAGACGGGUAGCCGGUCUGAGAGGAUGUACGGCCACACUGGAACUGAGACACGGUCCAGACACCUACGGGUGGCAGCAGUUUCGAAUCAUUCACAAUGGGCGAAAGCCUGAUGAUGCGACGUCGCGUGAAGGAAGAAGGUUUUUUAAUCGUAAACUUCUGUCGUUGGUGAACAAAAAAUAAACUAAUAAUUUAUAAAUUGAGUUAAUCCAAAAAGGAAGUAGUGGCUAAUUCCGUGCCAGCAGCCGCGGUAAUACGGGAACUGCAAGCGUUAUUCGGAUUUACUGGGCGUAAAGAGUACGUAGAUUGUUGUGCAAGUUAAAUGUGAAAUCUUAAAGCUUAACUUUAAAACUGCAUUUAAAACUACACGACUAGAGUAUCAAAGGGGUAAGUGGAAUUUCAAGUGUAGCGGUGAAAUGCGUAGAUAUUUGAAAGAACACCAAAGGCGAAGGCAACUUACUGGGGGAUUACUGACAUUAAAGUACGAAAGCGUGGGUAGCGAAAGGGAUUAGAUACCCCUGUAGUCCACGCUGUAAACAAUGUACACUGUAUCUUGGAAAAAUUUUAUUUUCAGGAUGUGAGCUAACGCAUUAAGUGUACCGCCUGAAGACUACGGUCGCAAGACUAAAAUUCAAAGGAAUUGACGGGGACCCGCACAAGCGGUGGAGCAUGUGGCUUAAUUCGAUACAACGCGAAGAACCUUACCUGGAUUUGACAUGUUGUAGACAGGGUGCGAAAGCAUUUUUUCAUAAAAGACUACUGCACAGGUGCUGCAUGGCUGUCGUCAGCUCGUGUCGUGAGAUGUUCGGUUAAGUCCGGUAACGAGCGCAACCCUCGUUUUUAGUUACUAACAGUUAAUGCUGAGAUAUCUAGAAAGAUAAACUUCUCUUAAGAGGUUAGAAAGUGGGGAUGACGUCAAGUCCGUAUGGCCUUUAUAUCCAGGGCUGCACACGUGCUACAAUGCUUAAGACAAUAGGAAGCGUAGCUGUGAAGUGAAGCAAAUCCAAUAAACUUAAGCUUAGUUCGGAUUGAAGUCUGCAACUCGACUUCAUGAAGUUGGAAUCGCUAGUAAUGGUAUAUCAGCAAUGGUACCGUGAAUACGUUCUCGGGUCUUGUACACACCGCCCGUCACGUCAUGAAAGUUGGUUUUAUCUAAAGAAUAAGGAGUAGCUUUUUAUGUGAAAAUUGUUUUAAGGUUGGGCCGAUGAUUGGGACGAAGUCGUAACAAGGUAGCCGUAGGGGAACCUGUGGCUGAAUCAAUUAUAUA